GCUCAGUAACACGUGGACAACUUGCCCUAUCGCGGGGGAUAAUCUCGGGAAACUGAGGGUAAUACCCCAUAGGCUUCAGGUACUGGAAUGUUCUGAAGCUGAAAGUUCCGACACGAUAGGAUGGGUCUGCGGCCCGAUUAGUUAGUAGGCGGUGUAAUGGACCACCUAGACUAUAAUCGGUAAGGGUCAUGGGAGUGAUAGCCCUGAGACGGAAUCUGAGACACUAUUCCGAGCCUUACGGGGUGCAGCAGGCGCGAAAACUUUGCAAUGCACGAAAGCGCGACAAGGGGACUCCAAGUGUGCAUAUACCAUAUGCACUUUUUCAGAGCCCAAAACGCUCUGGGAAUAAGGGGUGGGCAAGACUAGUGCCAGCCGCCGCGGUAAAACUAGCAUCUCGAGUGGCAGUCACCAUUACUGGGCUUAGAGCGUCCGUAGCUCGCUCGGAAAGUCCCUGGUGGAAUCCUGCGGCUUAACCGUAGGGCUUGCCGGGGAAACUAACGGGCUUGAGGGCGGGAGAGGUCGGGGGUACUUCUGGGGUAGGGGUGAAAUCCUUUAAUCCUAGAAGGACCAACAGUGGCGAAGGCGCCCGACAUGAACGCGCCUGACAGUGAGGGACGAGAGCCAGGGUCGCGAAACGGAUUAGAUACCCGUGUAGUCCUGGCCGUAAACGAUGCUGACUAGGUGGGGUGCAAUCUUAGUGAUUGUGCUAUGCCGAAGGGAAACCGUUAAGUCAGCCGCCUGGGGAGUACGACCGCAAGGUUGAAACUUAAAGGAAUUGGCGGGGGAGCACUACAAGGGGUGGAAGCUGCGGUUUAAUUAGAUUCAACGCUGGACAUCUCACCGGAGGCGACAGCAGGAUGAAGGCCAGACUGAUGGUCUUGCCGAACACGCUGAGAGGAGGUGCAUGGCCGUCGUCAGCUCGUGCCGUAAGGUGUUAGGUUAAGUCCUAAAACGAGCGAGACCCCCGCC
This 969-nucleotide ribosomal RNA is filed under the name uncultured archaeon. Its description in RNAcentral is "bacterial SSU rRNA". It matches the Rfam family "Archaeal small subunit ribosomal RNA", at positions 88 to 1058 of the family's 1478-position model. The record is from RNAcentral.